GAUGAAGAACGCAGCGAAAUGCGAUACGUAAUGUGAAUUGCAGAAUUCAGUGAAUCAUCGAAUCUUUGAACGCAUAUUGCGCUCUCUGGUAUUCCGGAGAGCAUGCUUGUUUGAGUAUCAGUAAACACCUCAACUUCCAUAUCUUUUUUGAAAUGGGAGUUGGACUUGAGUGAUCCCAACGCCUUUCCUCACCGAAAAGUGGCGGGUUACUUGAAAUGCAGGUGCAGCUGGACUUUUCUCUGAGCUAUAAGCAUAUCUAUUUAGUCUGCCUAAAAAACAGAUUAUUACCUUUGCUGCAGCUAACAUAAAGGAGAUUAGUUCUUGUGCUGACUGAUGCAGGAUUCACAAAGACGGCUUCGGCCGACUUUGUAAACUCGAUCUCAAAUCAAGUAAGACUACCCGCUGAACUUAAGCAUAUCAAUAAGCGGAGGA
RNAcentral lists this unclassified non-coding RNA (432 nucleotides) under soil metagenome. Its description in RNAcentral is "partial contains 5.8S ribosomal RNA, internal transcribed spacer 2, and large subunit ribosomal RNA". The stretch from base 1 to 120 matches the Rfam family "5.8S ribosomal RNA", at positions 35 to 154 of the family's 154-position model. The record is from RNAcentral.